GGAGUAGUUCAGUUGGUUAGAGCGCCAGGUUGUGGCCCUGGAGGUCGUGGGUUCGAAUCCCAUUUC
RNAcentral lists this transfer RNA (66 nucleotides) under bovine gut metagenome. It matches the Rfam family "tRNA", at positions 5 to 66 of the family's 71-position model. Rfam says of the family: Transfer RNA (tRNA) molecules are approximately 80 nucleotides in length. Their secondary structure includes four short double-helical elements and three loops (D, anti-codon, and T loops). The record is from RNAcentral.